This 233-nucleotide ribosomal RNA is filed under the name uncultured bacterium. RNAcentral describes it as "partial 16S ribosomal RNA". It matches the Rfam family "Bacterial small subunit ribosomal RNA", at positions 15 to 238 of the family's 1533-position model. The record is from RNAcentral.
GAUCCUGGCUCAGGAUGAACGCUAGCUACAGGCUUAACACAUGCAAGUCGAGGGGCAGCAUUUCAGUUUGCUUGCAAACUGGAGAUGGCGACCGGCGCACGGGUGAGUAACACGUAUCCAACCUGCCGAUAACUCGGGGAUAGCCUUUCGAAAGAAAGAUUAAUACCCGAUGGUAUAAUCAGACCGCAUGGUCUUGUUAUUAAAGAAUUUCGGUUAUCGAUGGGUAGUNGUCU